GGUGCGUACACGUGAAGCGACUUGCCCAAGUGUGGGGGAUAGCCGGCCCAACGGCCGGGUUAAUACCGAUACGCUUCUAUGGGGGCAUCCCUGUGGAAGGAAACCUUCGGGGCACAUGGAGGGGCUCGCGGCCUAUCAGCUAGUUGGCGGGGUAAUGGCCCACCAAGGCGAUGACGGGUAGCUGGUCUGAGAGGAUGACCAGCCACACUUGGAAACUGAGACAACGGGUCCAGACUCCUUACGGGAAGGCAGCAAGUGGGGAAUAUUGCACAAUGGGCGCAAGGCCUGAUGCAGCCAUGCCGCGUGUAUGAAGAAGGCCUUCGGGUUGUAAAGUACUUUCAGCGGGGAGGAAGGUGUUGUGGUUAAUAACCACAGCAAUUGACGUUACCCGCAGUAAGUAAGCACCGGCUAACUCCGUGCCAGCAGCCGCGGUAAUACGGAGGGUACAAGCGUUAAUCGGAAUUACUGGGCGUAAAGCGCACGCAGGCGGUCUGUCAAGUCGGAUGUGAAAUCCCCGGGCUCAACCUGGGAACUGNAUUCGAAACUGGCAGGCUAGAGUCUUGUAAGGGGGGUAGAAUUCCAGGUGUAGCGGUGAAAUGC
This 600-nucleotide ribosomal RNA is filed under the name uncultured bacterium. RNAcentral's name for it is "bacterial SSU rRNA". It matches the Rfam family "Bacterial small subunit ribosomal RNA", at positions 105 to 689 of the family's 1533-position model. The record is from RNAcentral.